ACUGCAUUUGAUACUGCGAGUCUUGAGUGAGGUAGAGGGGGGUGGAAUUCCCGGCGUAAAGGUGAAAUUCGCUCUAUCGGGAGGAGCUCAGAGGCGAAGGCGACCCCCUGGGCCUUUACUGACGCUGAGGUGAUAAAGCUUGGGGAACAAACAGGAUUAGUAACCCCGGGAGUCCACGCCGUAAACGAUGAUUACUAGGUGCGGGGGGUAUAAACUCCCUCCGUGUCGCAGCUUACGCAUUAACUACUCCUCCUGGUAAGUACGGUCGCAUGGCUGAAACUCACAGGACUUGACGGGGGCCCGCACAAACGGUGGAACAUGUGGAUUAAUUAUAUGCUUCCCGAAAAACCUUACCUGGACUUGACAUCCUGAGAAUCUUCCAGAGAUGGAGGAGUGCCCUUCGGGGAACUCAUCGACAGUUUCUGCAUGGCUGCUCUCAGCUUCUUGUCCAGAGAUGUUGGGAUAAGGCCACAACGAGCGCAACCACCUAAACUUUAGUUUGCAACCCAAUAGUGCUGAACACUCUAAGAGGACUGGCUGGGUUUACCAUGAGGAAGGUGGGGAACGACAUCAACUCAUCCUGGCCUUUUUGCCAGGACUACACACGUGCUACGAUGGUCGGUACAAAGGGCGCACAAUCGUGUGAUCACUCAAAUCCCAUAAUGACCGGUCUCAAUUCGGAUUGGAAUCCGGUACCUCAA
Molecule: ribosomal RNA, 701 nt
Filed under: uncultured bacterium
Lineage: Bacteria
Description: bacterial SSU rRNA
Rfam family: Bacterial small subunit ribosomal RNA
Source: RNAcentral